Molecule: ribosomal RNA, 1247 nt
Filed under: Helicobacter pylori
Lineage: Bacteria; Pseudomonadati; Campylobacterota; Epsilonproteobacteria; Campylobacterales; Helicobacteraceae
Description: bacterial SSU rRNA
Rfam family: Bacterial small subunit ribosomal RNA
Source: RNAcentral
CUUUAACGAUGAAGCUUCUAGCUUGCUAGAGUGCUGAUUAGUGGCGCACGGGUGAGUAACGCAUAGGUCAUGUGCCUCUUAGUUUGGGAUAGCCAUUGGAAACGAUGAUUAAUACCAGAUACUCCCUACGGGGGAAAGAUUUAUCGCUAAGAGAUCAGCCUAUGUCCUAUCAGCUUGUUGGUAAGGUAAUGGCUUACCAAGGCUAUGACGGGUAUCCGGCCUGAGAGGGUGAACGGACACACUGGAACUGAGACACGGUCCAGACUCCUACGGGAGGCAGCAGUAGGGAAUAUUGCUCAAUGGGGGAAACCCUGAAGCAGCAACGCCGCGUGGAGGAUGAAGGUUUUAGGAUUGUAAACUCCUUUUGUUAGAGAAGAUAAUGACGGUAUCUAACGAAUAAGCACCGGCUAACUCCGUGCCAGCAGCCGCGGUAAUACGGAGGGUGCAAGCGUUACUCGGAAUCACUGGGCGUAAAGAGCGCGUAGGCGGGAUAGUCAGUCAGGUGUGAAAUCCUAUGGCUUAACCAUAGAACUGCAUUUGAAACUACUAUUCUAGAGUGUGGGAGAGGUAGGUGGAAUUCUUGGUGUAGGGGUAAAAUCCGUAGAGAUCAAGAGGAAUACUCAUUGCGAAGGCGACCUGCUGGAACAUUACUGACGCUGAUUGCGCGAAAGCGUGGGGAGCAAACAGGAUUAGAUACCCUGGUAGUCCACGCCCUAAACGAUGGAUGCUAGUUGUUGGAGGGCUUAGUCUCUCCAGUAAUGCAGCUAACGCAUUAAGCAUCCCGCCUGGGGAGUACGGUCGCAAGAUUAAAACUCAAAGGAAUAGACGGGGACCCGCACAAGCGGUGGAGCAUGUGGUUUAAUUCGAAGAUACACGAAGAACCUUACCUAGGCUUUACAUUGAGAGAAUCCGCUAGAAAUAGUGGAGUGUCUAGCUUGCUAGACCUUGAAAACAGGUGCUGCACGGCUUUCUUCAGCUCGUGUCGUGAGAUGUUGGGUUAAGUCCCGCAACGAGCGCAACCCCCUUUCUUAGUUGCUAACAGGUCAUGCUGAGAACUCUAAGGAUACUGCCUCCGUAAGGAGGAGGAAGGUGGGGACGACGUCAAGUCAUCAUGGCCCUUACGCCUAGGGCUACACACGUGCUACAAUGGGGUGCACAAAGAGAAGCAAUACUGCGAAGUGGAGCCAAUCUUCAAAACGCCUCUCAGUUCGGAUUGUAGGCUGCAACUCGCCUGCAUGAAGCUGGAU